AUUGCAGAGGAGGGAGGGACGGGAGAGGAGAGCACCACGGUGAUGCGGUGACACAUGGCUGCCUGUGCCGCCUGCGCGCUCUGACUGCGGCUUCCACUUUUUCCAUUCACCGGGGAGGAGGAAAUAACUGGUGGAGGUGGGGGUGAGGAGGAGGCUGGACACUGGGAUGCUGAGAGACGCUGCUGCUGCUGCUGCUGCUGCUGGAGGCUGCCGCAUCCACCGACCGGGCUCAGCCAAGCUCGGAAGAGACCGUGGGACCACCGGGAGCCUGCUCCUCGCAUCGUGUUUACAGUGAGGAGCUUUUUGUCCCCGCCGAGCCGCCGUAGCCAUGGGAGACAACAUGUCCAAGCGCCUGAAGCUGAUCUCGGCUACGGAGGCGGAGAUGGAGGAGCGCUCCUUCCCCAACCCGUUCACCGACUGGGACCAGGGAGUCACGUCCAACUCCGGAGCGGACGUGGACUACAACGACCCGUUCGACGCGGAGGGGAAGGUGAGCGCGUCGUUCCAAGGGAAGGUCGAGAGUAAGAUCAAAGAUCUCCUCCAGCAGAUGGAGGAGGGCCUGAAGACCGUCGACCCUCAUGACUUCUCCACUUACACCGGCUGGACAGGCGUCGCCUUGCUGUACCUGCAGCUGCACCGGGUGUCCCACGAGGCCUCCCACCUGCAGAGGGCGCUGGACUACGCAAAGAGGGCCAUGAGGAUCCUGAACGGCCGCAAGGUGACGUUCCUGUGCGGCGAUGCGGGGCCGCUGGCGGUGGGCGCCGUGGUCCACCACAAACUCGGCAACGCCGCCGACAGCAAAGAGUGUCUCUCCAGACUCCUCCAGCUGCAGCGCUCGGUGCUGAGUCCAGACGCCGAGAUGCCCGACGAGCUGCUCUACGGCCGGGCCGGCUACCUCUACGCCCUGCUCUACGUCAACAAAGAGAUAGGAGCUGACACGGUGGACGAGGGCACCAUUGCAAAGGUGGUGACAGCCAUCUUGGAAUCGGGGAAGAACAUGUCAGCGGAGCAGAAGAAGACCGACCGCUGUCCUCUGCUCUACGAGUGGCACAAGAAGCAGUACAUCGGCGCGGCCCACGGCCUGGCUGGGAUCUAUUACACACUCAUGCAGCCAGGAGCAAAAGUCCAGUCAGACGUGCUGUCCGAGUUGGUCCGUCCCAGCAUCGACUACGUCCGCCACAAGAGGUUCCGAUCGGGGAACUUCCCAUCGUCCCUGAGCAACGAGAGCGACCGGCUGGUGCACUGGUGCCACGGGGCGCCGGGGGUCGUCCAUUUGCUCAUCAUGGCUCAUAAGGUGUUCAAAGAGGAGAAGUACCUGAAGGAAGCUGCAGAAUGUGCCGAGGUGAUCUGGCAGCGCGGUCUGCUCAGGAAAGGCUACGGCAUCUGUCACGGCACUGCCGGCAAUGGCUACGCCUUCCUGUCCCUGUACAAGAUCACCCAGGACAAGAAAUACCUGUACCGGGCCUGCAAGUUUGCCGAGUGGUGUUUGGACUACGGCACCCACGGCUGUCGCAUCCCCGACAGACCGUACUCGCUUUUCGAAGGUAUGGCCGGAGCCAUCCAUUACCUGUCGGAGAUGGACUCGCCCGAAGCCUCCUGUUUCCCCGCCUUUGAACUUUGACCCGCCGACCUGAUGGGACUGGGGGAUGGCGAAAGGGGGUUCACUGGUCCUUGUGUUUGGUGGUGAAUUGUGUCCUGGUCUCGGCAGCAAGGCGGAGAAAUGCUAAGACCGAGAGAAACUGAUGCUGUAUGGGGGCCCCGGACUAUUUCUAAAACCUGCUACCGGUUUCCUGAAGUGCAGAAACCAGAGACGGAGCCGUCGACAGCCUGUGGCCCAGACACUGUGGAGCCUGUUAUGGCCACCAGAUGUAAUUACAUUACAAUAACGGAAGAGUCUUCGCUCUCUGCAUCAAGGAACAGGACGGCGGCGGGUGGUUGCAGUAGGACGGAGGCGGAGGGUAGGAGGCCAGCAUCAUAUGGGCGGAGCCGGGCUGUGCGGCGUACGCCGGGAGUGUCAUGGUGACCCCGGGGUCACCACCCGUCAUGCCGUUGACCCCGAAGCCCUGCAUACUCCCCGGCUGCUGGGAAACUGGAGGAAAGUAAAGAAAUGGGUUUCAUUUAAUAUCGGUUCACUUGCUUACGGAUUGUAUGGUCUGUAGCUCUAUCAUCAUACACAGUCAUAUUUUAUACACCACGCAUGGUUCAUCACCGUCUCUUCGUGGACGUUGGUUCAGUUUAUAAUCGGAAUGAUUCCAGUCUUGCUUGUUUUGUCAGGCUCCUUUUGGCUGUUAUUUCUAAAAGUUAUUAUCUGAAACCUCAAACAUCCAAUCACUGAGGACUUGGCAUUCACUUUCUAAGUGAGUGUUUGUUUUCUUGGUUUCGCUGCUGGUCUGGCGAAUGUCUGAGUGUACUGAGAAAAACAUAAAUCUGUGUUAUGUUUUUAUACAUUUUUGUGGUCCAAAAACGUGACAAUUCUUAAUUUCACAAUGCCCCAGAAACCAGAAACCUAUUCUAAAGCCUGCGGUAUCUAGUUGGCCUUCAGAAAUGAGUUUUACAUUGUGGUUAUUAUUGUGGGCCUCCGUUCAAUUUUCUGCUCGGUUGACUCACACACCUCAACUUUUAAAUGAACCAUUUCAGGCCACUGAUUAUAACAGGACCGGGGUUUGAUUAGUUUUUUGUCAAUUACGCCGUUUGAAACCUUCGAAUUUGACUUGGCAGUCACACAAAAAAAGCAGUAUUCUGAGAUGAUAUUUCAACAUUCAAUUUCCACCUGAAAGUACUUUCAUGGAGGGACUGUUUUGAUGGCUGCUCUAUGAAUAGCCGUUGGAAGGAAAGGGGGCUGGUUAAGUAAUAGACCACACCAAACACCGGUGUCCUGUGACGGAUCUCACCGGCUCCCAUUGUGCGCACAAAAGUUACUACUACACUAUCAUUUCUUUUAUUAAUGUAGAUCCUGUACUGUUCCUCCAGACAGAUUUGAGGCAGACAAGUACCCAAGGAACUCAAAGCUUAACUAAAUAUUUUAUACCUGUCAUCUCACCUACAAUAGUGAGAAUACAAUAUUGUUAAAAGGCCUUUGUUUAAUUAGUCCCCAGAUUUUACUCCCAUUAAAGCAUAAUGUAAAACAUAUCUGAAUGUGGAGAGGCUCCCGCGACCUCGACUUAUUUAGCAAAGUGGGUUGAGUUUGAGUCUCAUGCAAGCACCUGCCUGAUUUCCAAAAAGCAUUUUGUGGAUCUGUGCUGUGUACUUGCAUGUCACUGUACCUGGUGAGGUGACGGGGUGCCUGGUGAAGGAGACGUUGAACGCCGGCUCGUCUCUCAGAGGGGACGGGUACAUCCGUCUGCGGAUGAAGAACCCGGCGCCGCAGCAGAACAGCACUCCCAUCAUCAGCAGCACCCUGAGAGACGACGGUGAACAGAAGGCGCCGUCAGCCACACACAACAUCGCGAAGAGCACACCCGGCGUCUGACCGGCGGGGAGCGGAGGGAAAGAUCCUUCUUAGGUUCCAGAGACGAAGGGUAAUCGAAAUGCUUUGGACGUGUACGUCCACACAAAUUGGUUUUUCAUUUUCAGUUUGCAUCGUGUUCGUUUUUAGUCAUUAUUUGAGUCAUCCUUGCCAAAAGUCUCCAUUUCAGGGCCUAGCAGAAGGUGAUGCGUUUAAAGAAACACAAAUGUAUGUAUGCGUGUGUGUGCAUUCAUCACUCCGAAAUCCAGGAUUCUGUUUUGAGGGCCACCUCUUUUCAUAACACUCUCUUGAAUUUACCGAUGUAUAAUUCCAAGAACAAAAUGUCAGUAGGGAGGAGGAGACGCUGCGAUGAAUCACAGCCGAGCUGUCAAAGGCGCAGCGAGGAGCUCAACUGCUCGAAGCAAACACAUUCACACUUUGUGAAAAGUGGACAAAGACGGCGUUUGCUUACAUUUCAUAAUUCCGAGGGGGUAGAACGACAGCUUCUGCAAACUCACCAGAAGUACCAUAGUCGCUGGAUGGACAGGGCUCUCACACAGCAGCGCGUCCCGCAGCAGUCCUCGUAGGAGCGACAUCUGCCACGAGGGGAGGUCAUGUGGAGAACAAGUGAACAAAAGAGUUACAGCGUAGCAUAAUAAAUGAAGUGAUUAUUUGAUCUGGUAAAAGAUCAAAUAAUCUUUUACCAGAUUAUUUAUCGCGCUUUUGUGCUUCGUAAAGUAAUCUUAACAAAAA
This is an RNA transcript of Scophthalmus maximus (turbot), 4198 nucleotides long. It is a transcript of the gene named LanC lantibiotic synthetase component C-like 2 (bacterial), with no coding region annotated. NCBI's taxonomy places the organism in Eukaryota, Metazoa, Chordata, Actinopteri, Pleuronectiformes, Scophthalmidae. The record is from RefSeq and is a predicted model, not a curated record. The transcript is spliced from 14 exons.